RNAcentral lists this ribosomal RNA (406 nucleotides) under uncultured bacterium. RNAcentral's name for it is "partial 16S ribosomal RNA". It matches the Rfam family "Bacterial small subunit ribosomal RNA", at positions 30 to 526 of the family's 1533-position model. The record is from RNAcentral.
AUUGAACGCUGGCGGCAGGCCUAACACAUGCAAGUCGCACGAGUGGCGGACGGGUGAGUAAUGUCUGGGAAACUGCCUGAUGGAGGGGGAUAACUACUGGAAACGGUAGCUAAUACCGCAUACCAUCAGAUGUGCCCAGAUGGGAUUAGCUAGUAGGUGAGGUAAAGGCUCACCAAGGCGACGAUCCCUAGCUGGUCUGAGAGGAUGACCAGCCAUACUGGAACUAGGCCACUGUCCAGACUCCUACGGGAGGCAGCAGUGGGGAAUAUCGCACAAUGGGCGCAAGCCUGAUGCAGCCAUGCCGCGUGUAUGAAGAAGGCCUUCGGGUUUUAAAGUUCUUUCAUCGGGGAGGCGUUACCCGCAGAAGAAGCACCGGCUAACUCCGUGCCAGCAGCCGCGGUAAUAC